RNAcentral lists this unclassified non-coding RNA (342 nucleotides) under soil metagenome. RNAcentral's name for it is "partial contains 5.8S ribosomal RNA, internal transcribed spacer 2, and large subunit ribosomal RNA". The stretch from base 1 to 120 matches the Rfam family "5.8S ribosomal RNA", at positions 35 to 154 of the family's 154-position model. The record is from RNAcentral.
GAUGAAGAACGUAGCGAAAUGCGAUAAGUAAUGUGAAUUGCAGAAUUCAGUGAAUCAUCGAAUCUUUGAACGCACAUUGCGCCCGCCAGCACUCUGGCGGGCAUGCCUGUUCGAGCGUCAUUUCAACCAUCAAGCCCCCAGGGGCUUGUGCUGGGGCCCUGCGGCUGCCCGCAGGCCCUGAAAACCAGUGGCGGGCUCGCUAGUCACACCGAGCGCAGUAGCACAUCUCGCUCAGGGCGUGCGGCUGGCUCCUGCCGUGAAACCCCCCACUGUAACCCCAAAGGUUGACCUCGGAUCAGGUAGGAAUACCCGCUGAACUUAAGCAUAUCAAUAAGCGGAGGA